GUGACUCGCGGGCAUUCUCCCCGCUUCUCGCAGAAAUCGCCCGGAAAUGGGAGCUUGCGCGAAGCGCUGAUCGGCCCGCUGGGGAAGCUCAUGGACCCGGGCUCCCUGCCGCCCCUCGACUCUGAAAUCUCUUCCAGGAUCUAAGUCACUUCCAGGAGACGUGGCUCGCUGAACUCAGGUACCAGACAGUGAUGAGCAGUUUGUUCCUGAUUUCCAUUCAGAAAACUAGCUUUCCACAGCCCCACCACCAGGAUCAAGAAGGAGCCCCAGAGUCCCCGCACAGACCCGGCCCUGUCCUGCAGCAGGAAGCCGCCACUCCCCUACCACCAUGGCGAGCAGUGCCUUUACUCCAUGCCUAUGACCCCCCCAGACAAAUCGCCAUCAAGUCCCCUGCCCCUGGUGCCCUUGGACAGUCGCCCCUACAGCCCUUU
RNAcentral lists this long non-coding RNA (431 nucleotides) under Homo sapiens (human). RNAcentral describes it as "non-protein coding lnc-MEOX1-3:3". The record is from RNAcentral. Lineage: Eukaryota; Metazoa; Chordata; Mammalia; Primates; Hominidae.